AGUGGUGGCUGUUAGUCAUAUUCCUGGUUCAAUACAGGAAGUAGAUGUGUUCGCCAAAGCACUCCCCAAUGCUUCAUUCCUGCAAUUUCGAUCAAUGCUGAAUGUAAGAGAGAACGGGCCAAGCAGUGAAGAAGGAAGACUGAAGUUAGAAGAGCCAGAAAACGGGAACCAUUAGAAGAUGAAUGU
Non-coding RNA from Arachis ipaensis, 186 nucleotides. NCBI's taxonomy places the organism in Eukaryota, Viridiplantae, Streptophyta, Magnoliopsida, Fabales, Fabaceae. The record is from RefSeq and is a predicted model, not a curated record.